This 420-nucleotide ribosomal RNA is filed under the name uncultured archaeon. RNAcentral describes it as "partial 16S ribosomal RNA". It matches the Rfam family "Archaeal small subunit ribosomal RNA", at positions 323 to 746 of the family's 1478-position model. The record is from RNAcentral.
CUACGGGACGCAGCAGUUAGGUAUAUUCUGCAAUACACGAAAGUGUGACAGAGUGAGCCAGAGUGUUUCUCACAGAGAAACUUUUGUUGAAUGUAAAAAGUUCGACGAAUAAGGACUGGGUAAGACGAGUGCCAGCCGCCGCGGUAAUACUCGCGGUCCAAGUCGCAGCCAUAAUUAUUGGGUCUAAAACAUCCGUAGCUUGCUAUGUAAGUCCCUUGUGAAAUCCGGCUUCUUAAGAGUCGGGCGCGCGGGGGGUACUGCAUGGCUAGAGAUUGGGAGACGUAAGCAGUACGUUCAAAGUAGUGGUAAAAUACGUUAAUCUUGGACGGACUCACAAUAGCGAAGGCAGCUUACGAGAACGGUUCUGACAGUGAGGGAUGAAGGCCAGGGGCGCAAAACGGAUUAGAUACCCCGGUAGUC